RNAcentral lists this ribosomal RNA (970 nucleotides) under uncultured bacterium. Its description in RNAcentral is "bacterial SSU rRNA". It matches the Rfam family "Bacterial small subunit ribosomal RNA", at positions 110 to 1099 of the family's 1533-position model. The record is from RNAcentral.
GUAAUAUAUAGAUAACGUGCCUCUUAGUCUGGGAUAGCCAUUGGAAACGAUGAUUAAUACCGGAUACUCCUUCUAACUCUAAUGUUAGUCGGGAAAGUUUUUCGCUAAGAGAUCGGUCUAUAUCCCAUCAGUUAGUUGGUAAGGUAACGGCUUACCAAGGCAAUGACGGGUAGCGGGUUUGAGAGGAUGAUCCGCCACACUGGUACUGAGACACGGACCAGGCUCCUACGGGAGGCAGCAGUGAGGAAUAUUGCACAAUGGGGGAAACCCUGAUGCAGCAACGCCGCGUGGAGGAUGACGCAUUUCGGUGUGUAAACUCCUUUUAUGAGUCAAGAAAAUGACGGUAGCUCAUGAAUAAGCACCGGCUAACUCCGUGCCAGCAGCCGCGGUAAUACGGAGGGUGCAAGCGUUACUCGGAAUCACUGGGCGUAAAGGACGCGUAGGCGGGAUGCCAAGUCUGAUGUGAAAUCCUAUGGCUUAACCAUAGAACUGCAUUGGAAACUGGUAACCUAGAGUAUGGGAGGGGGAGAUGGAAUUAGUGGUGUAGGGGUAAAAUCCGUAGAUAUCACUAGGAAUACCGAAAGCGAAGGCGAUCUCCUGGAACAUAACUGACGCUAAGGCGUGAAGGCGUGGGGAGCAAACGGGAUUAGAUACCCCGGUAGUCCACGCCCUAAACGAUGAACACUAGUCGUCGCUCUGCUUGUCAGGGCGGUGAUGCACUUAACAGAUUAAGUGUUCCGCCUGGGGAGUACGGUCGCAAGAUUAAAACUCAAAGGAAUAGACGGGGACCCGCGCAAGUGGUGGAGCAUGUGGUUUAAUUCGAAGAUACGCGAAGAACCUUACCUGGCCUUGACAUUGAUAGAAUCCAGCAGAGAUGCAAGAGUGCCCUUCGGGGAGCUUGAAAACAAGUGCUGCACGGCUGUCGUCAGCUCGUGUCGUGAGAUGUUGGGUUAAGUCCCGCAACGAGCGC